This 423-nucleotide ribosomal RNA is filed under the name uncultured bacterium. Its description in RNAcentral is "bacterial SSU rRNA". It matches the Rfam family "Bacterial small subunit ribosomal RNA", at positions 359 to 773 of the family's 1533-position model. The record is from RNAcentral.
GAAUAUUGGACAAUGGGGGGAACCCUGAUCCAGCCAUGCCGCGUGUGUGCAGAAGGCCUUUUGGUUGUAAAGCACUUUAAGCGAGGAGGAGGCUACUCUAGCUAAUACCUAGAGAUAGUGGACGUUACUCGCAGAAUAAGCACCGGAUAAAUCUCGGCCCGCAGCCGCGGUAAUACAGAGGGUGCAAGCGUUAAUCGGAUUUACUGUGCGUAAAGCGCGCGUAGGUGGCCAAUUAAGCAAAAUGUGAAAUCCCCGAGCUUAACUUGGGAAUUGCAUUCGAUACUGGUUGGCUAGAGUAUGGGAGAGGAUGGUAGAAUUCCAGGUGUAGCGGUGAAAUGCGUAGAGAUCUGGAGGAAUACCGAUGGCGAAGGCAGCCAUCUGGCCUAAUACUGACACUGAGGUGCGAAAGCAUGGGGAGCAAAC